RNAcentral lists this ribosomal RNA (440 nucleotides) under uncultured bacterium. RNAcentral's name for it is "bacterial SSU rRNA". It matches the Rfam family "Bacterial small subunit ribosomal RNA", at positions 958 to 1398 of the family's 1533-position model. The record is from RNAcentral.
AACGCGAAGAACCUUACCCAGGCUUGACAUGCACAGGACGACACUAGAAAUAGUGUUUCCCUUCGGGGUCUGUGCACAGGUGCUGCAUGGCUGUCGUCAGCUCGUGCCGUGAGGUGUUGGGUUAAGUCCCGCAACGAGCGCAACCCUUGUCAUUAGUUGCCAACACGUAAUGGUGGGAACUCUAAUGAGACUGCCUAGGUUAACUAGGAGGAAGGUGAGGAUGACGUCAAGUCAGCAUGGCCCUUAUGCCUGGGGCUACACACGUACUACAAUGGCCGGUACAGAAGGCAGCGAAACCGCAAGGCGGAGCAAAUCCCCAAAGCCGGCCCCAGUUCAGAUUGUAGUCUGCAACUCGACUACAUGAAGUCGGAAUUGCUAGUAAUGGCGCGUCAGCAACAGCGCCGUGAAUACGUUCCCGGGCCUUGUACACACCGGAGUGC